Non-coding RNA from Geotrichum reessii, 87 nucleotides. NCBI's taxonomy places the organism in Eukaryota, Fungi, Ascomycota, Dipodascomycetes, Dipodascales, Dipodascaceae. The record is from the annotation of a GenBank genome assembly.
GGCCGUGUGGUCUAGUAGUAUGAUACUCGCUUUGGGCUUCUGACCUGAAUAUGCGAGUGGUCCAGGGUUCAAUUCCCUGCUCGGCCC